CCUCCUACUUAGACCAUGAGGCUCAUCUGGGGCAAGGACAAUGUGAUUAACCCUGGUGCUUAGAACAGUGAUUACCACAUAGACAACAAGUCUCAACAGGGAUGGAUGGCCACUGACAGACCUCACAGAUACCAAAUCCCAUGAAACAGGCAGUGUAAUGUGAUGAUGUCAUAAAACUGCUAUUUUGCAGGUCUGCCUGAUUUGACAAGAAUAAACACAAAAUUAGAACAUC
Long non-coding RNA from Tachyglossus aculeatus (Australian echidna), 232 nucleotides. RefSeq lists it as uncharacterized. The record is from RefSeq and is a predicted model, not a curated record. The transcript has 2 exons. NCBI's taxonomy places the organism in Eukaryota, Metazoa, Chordata, Mammalia, Monotremata, Tachyglossidae.